This 439-nucleotide ribosomal RNA is filed under the name uncultured bacterium. RNAcentral describes it as "partial 16S ribosomal RNA". It matches the Rfam family "Bacterial small subunit ribosomal RNA", at positions 339 to 795 of the family's 1533-position model. The record is from RNAcentral.
CUACGGGGUGCUGCAGUGAGGAAUAUUGCACAAUGGGGGGAACCCUGAUGCAGCAACGCCGCGUGGAGGAUGACGCAUUUCGGUGUGUAAACUCCUUUUAUAUGUCAAGAAAAUGACGGUAGCAUAUGAAUAAGCACCGGCUAACUCCGUGCCAGCAGCCGCGGUAAUACGGAGGGUGCAAGCGUUACUCGGAAUCACUGGGCGUAAAGGACGCGUAGGCGGGCUUGUAAGUCAGGUGUGAAAUCCUACAGCUUAACUAUAGAACUGCACUUGAAACUACGAGCCUAGAGUAUGGGAGGGGGAGAUGGAAUUAGUGGUGUAGGGGUAAAAUCCGUAGAUAUCACUAGGAAUACCUAAAGCGAAGGCGAUCUCCUGGAACAUAACUGACGCUAAGGCGUGAAAGCGUGGGGAGCAAACAGGAUUAGAUACCCUCGUAGUC